UGUAUUUGUGGCACUUGAGUAUAACACUUGAGUGAAUGUUAAAGUUUUUGACAAUUGAGUCGCCAUAUUUACCCCUGCAUUGAACCAUAUGGAUGCAAAGGAUUUUUAGUUAGACCCGAAGUCUUUAAACCAACAGUUGUUAGCUCUCAAAGCAAAUUAUCAAAAAAAAAAUUCAAAAGUUUUUGGUUUUCAAUUCAAGUGUGAAUUACAGAAAAGUUAAAAAAUGAGUGAAGUCCGCAGCUUGAUGACUACUUUUGCCACUUUGGCUGUGCUAUUGAUUCUUCUCUGGCUGUUGUAUGCCAUCUUUUAAGCUAGAAAUCAAUCGAAACAAAAACAACAACAGCGAUCACAGGUGUCGUACUUGCGAUCGUGUAGUAUAAGUAUGUUGCGUGUCUAGUAUACGAAAAGCUUUAAAAAUCAAUCAGCAACAAAAACCAAAACAACAACAGCAACAACAUGAAUGAAGCCAAGAGUUUGUUCACCACUUUCCUCAUCCUGGUCUUCCUGUUGGGCCUGCUGUGGGCCUUCUAUGAAGCCGUUUUCUAAAUCAACAACGAGUUAUUAUUAACAACAACAAUAAUAACAGCAUCUAGACAUGAUUUUCAUAUAAUUAAUAUUUUUGUCACAAGCCGCACCUAAAACAAACACAUACAUACAUACAAACAUAUCCUGUGUAUGUUGGGUACGACAUUUUCGUUAGUUUUUUUUAUUUAACACCAUCAAAUUCAUGGAAAAUAGUUUGGAAAUAAACAAUUAACGGUAUCACAUCGUGUAAUCUGGCAAUAACAACAACACCAUCUUACAUAAUAGAAUUAAUAAGCGUAAAAGCAUUUCCAAGUAACAUUAAAAUUCGUAAAAUAAGGACAAAUGUCAACAAAGAAAUGUAGUUCGCUUAGUUAGAAAAUGAGAUGACGUCAACGCUCGACAAAUACCAUAUGCAAAUACCAACGAAACAGCGGCAUACUGUGUCGCCACCAAGCCAAAGGUAUUUCGCAUACAUAUCAUCACAUACACAGCGCUCUGGCAACUUUGCGCGCUGUGAAUAGUUGAAAGGCUCGCAGUUUGUGCUCCGUAAACAAUAGCAAUUAUCAGCUGUCAACGAUUCAUCAGUUCAACAACCGAAAAUAAACUAUUUGUCCAGUUGACGUCCAACUCAUUCAUUCAAAGAAAAUUGCGUUUAUUUAAAAGUAAAGGAAAAAUAUGUAAAAAUUAUCCUAAAACCAAAACAAAAAACCAAAAAAAAAAAGCUUACUAGUGAGCAACAACAAGAAUGUUUGGCGCAUGUUUAAAACAUAUUUUUUCUUCUUAGUUGUAUAAGGGUAUUUGAUAUAAGCCAUAGUUGUAGCGACUUUAUAAUAUUAUAAAAUAUUUAUCAAACAGCAGCAGGCAGGAACGAAAUUAAAAAAAAUGGGUAUUUAUGGAACGUUAAAGAAUAUAAGAUCUUAUUAUUCUAAUGUAAUGUAAAAAAUAAAAAAUAAAGUACAGAAAAACAUCACAAAAAUGCA
Bactrocera oleae (olive fruit fly) is the source of this 1505-nucleotide long non-coding RNA. RefSeq lists it as uncharacterized. The record is from RefSeq and is a predicted model, not a curated record. NCBI's taxonomy places the organism in Eukaryota, Metazoa, Arthropoda, Insecta, Diptera, Tephritidae.